Molecule: long non-coding RNA, 536 nt
Organism: Sinocyclocheilus grahami
Lineage: Eukaryota; Metazoa; Chordata; Actinopteri; Cypriniformes; Cyprinidae
Exons: 6
Source: RefSeq, a predicted model, not a curated record
AUAAACUAGAAGAGGAUACUAAACAGAGAAAGAAAGAGCCGCCACCUGGUGCCCGUGCUACUAAUCAGAAUGAUGAAGAGGAUGAGGACGAGGAUGACGAUGAUGGUGACGAUGAUUCUGAUGACACAGAGUCUGAUGAGGAGGAAGGGGAGCCUGGAACUGCUCCAGAAGGUGCAUAUGACCCAGCUGAUUAUGAACAUCUUCCUGUGUCAGCCGAGAUCAAAGAGCUGUUUCAGUACAUCACACGAUAUACUCCACAGACGAUAGAGCUUGACCACAAACUGAAGCCCUUUAUCCCUGAUUUCAUUCCAGCUGUGGGGGACAUUGAUGCUUUCCUCAAAGUACCACGUCCAGAUGGGAAGGCUGAGAAUCUGGGUCUCCUGGUUCUGGAUGAGCCGUGCAUUAAACAGUCAGACCCAACAGUGCUUUCCCUGUGGCUGUCAGAGAACAGCAAACAACACAAUGUUGCUGAAGUAAAAGUAAAGAGCAUCGAAAACCCAGAGAAGAACCCCAAAGCCAUAGACAACUGGAUCGAG